Molecule: ribosomal RNA, 254 nt
Filed under: uncultured bacterium
Lineage: Bacteria
Description: partial 16S ribosomal RNA
Rfam family: Bacterial small subunit ribosomal RNA
Source: RNAcentral
UACGAACCGUCCGAACGUUAUUCGGAAUUACUGGGCUUAAAGCGCGUGUAGGCGGAUCGACACGUCCGACGCUGAAAUCCCCCGGCUCAACCGGGGAACAGGCGGGGAUACGAUCGGUCUGGAGGGAGGUAGGGGGGCCUGGAACUUCCGGUGGAGCGGUGAAAUGCGUUGAGAUCGGAAGGAACGCCCGUGGCGAAAGCGAGGCCCUGGACCUUGUCUGACGCUGAGACGCGAAAGCCAGGGGAGCGAACGGG